AUUGAACGCUGGCGGCAGGCCUAACACAUGCAAGUCGAGCGGAUGACGGGAGCUUGCUCCUUGAUUCAGCGGCGGACGGGUGAGUAAUGCCUAGGAAUCUGCCUGGUAGUGGGGGACAACGUUUCGAAAGGAACGCUAAUACCGCAUACGUCCUACGGGAGAAAGCAGGGGACCUUCGGGCCUUGCGCUAUCAGAUGAGCCUAGGUCGGAUUAGCUAGUUGGUGGGGUAAUGGCUCACCAAGGCGACGAUCCGUAACUGGUCUGAGAGGAUGAUCAGUCACACUGGAACUGAGACACGGUCCAGACUCCUACGGGAGGCAGCAGUGGGGAAUAUUGGACAAUGGGCGAAAGCCUGAUCCAGCCAUGCCGCGUGUGUGAAGAAGGUCUUCGGAUUGUAAAGCACUUUAAGUUGGGAGGAAGGGCAGUAAGUUAAUACCUUGCUGUUUUGACGUUACCGACAGAAUAAGCACCGGCUAACUCUGUGCCAGCAGCCGCGGUAAUACAGAGGGUGCAAGCGUUAAUCGGAAUUACUGGGCGUAAAGCGCGCGUAGGUGGUUUGUUAAGUUGGAUGUGAAAGCCCCGGGCUCAACCUGGGAACUGCAUCCAAAACUGGCAAGCUAGAGUACGGUAGAGGGUGGUGGAAUUUCCUGUGUAGCGGUGAAAUGCGUAGAUAUAGGAAGGAACACCAGUGGCGAAGGCGACCACCUGGACUGAUACUGACACUGAGG
RNAcentral lists this ribosomal RNA (728 nucleotides) under Pseudomonas sp. RNAcentral's name for it is "bacterial SSU rRNA". It matches the Rfam family "Bacterial small subunit ribosomal RNA", at positions 28 to 751 of the family's 1533-position model. Lineage: Bacteria; Pseudomonadati; Pseudomonadota; Gammaproteobacteria; Pseudomonadales; Pseudomonadaceae. The record is from RNAcentral.